RNAcentral lists this ribosomal RNA (301 nucleotides) under uncultured bacterium. Its description in RNAcentral is "partial 16S ribosomal RNA". It matches the Rfam family "Bacterial small subunit ribosomal RNA", at positions 509 to 807 of the family's 1533-position model. The record is from RNAcentral.
CAGUAGCCGCGGUAAUACAGAGGGUGCGAGCGUUAAUCGGAUUUACUGGGCGUAAAGCGUUCGUAGGCGGCUUUUUAAGUCGGAUGUGAAAUCCCUGAGCUUAACUUAGGAAUUGCAUUCGAUACUGGGAAGCUAGAGUAUGGGAGAGGAUGGUAGAAUUCCAGGUGUAGCGGUGAAAUGCGUAGAGAUCUGGAGGAAUACCGAUGGCGAAGGCAGCCAUCUGGCCUAAUACUGACGCUGAGGUACGAAAGCAUGGGGAGCAAACAGGAUUAGAUACCCCGGUAGUCCCUGUCUCUUAUAC